GUAGGGCUAGCACAGCUAGAGGUCACAAUCUGGUGGGAUGGUACAAUAAGCAAUCGGCAGCGGCCAAGCCGUCCACAGACUAAGUGGUUGUGGGUAGGAGACCCCUAUCUAAGAUAUAGUCGGGCCUUGUGAGCAAUCACAAGGGUUCUGCGUCCGUAGGUGAACCUGCGGAAGGAUCAUUA
This 182-nucleotide ribosomal RNA is filed under the name Ascomycota sp. BCZ. RNAcentral describes it as "partial 18S ribosomal RNA". Lineage: Eukaryota; Fungi; Ascomycota. The record is from RNAcentral.